RNAcentral lists this ribosomal RNA (1219 nucleotides) under metagenome. Its description in RNAcentral is "bacterial LSU rRNA". It matches the Rfam family "Bacterial large subunit ribosomal RNA", at positions 1688 to 2925 of the family's 2925-position model. The record is from RNAcentral.
AAACGGGAGAAGGGUUGUUAAGGAACUCGGCAAAUUGACCCCGUAACUUCGGGAGAAGGGGUGCUCUAGAGAUAGAGCCGCAGAGAAUCGGCCCAAGCAACUGUUUACCAAAAACACAGGUUUGUGCUAAAUCGAAAGAUGACGUAUACGAGCUGACGCCUGCCCGGUGCUGGAAGGUUAAGAGGAGAUGUGCAAGCAUUGAAUCGAAGCCCCAGUGAACGGCGGCCGUAACAAUAACGGUCCUAAGGUAGCGAAAUUCCUUGUCAGGUAAGUUCUGACCCGCAUGAAAGGCGUAAUGAUUUGGGCACUGUCUCGACAGCCCGCCCGGCGAAAUUGUAGUACCGGUGAAGAUGCCGGUUACCCGCGACAAGACGGAAAGACCCCAUGGAGCUUUACUGUAGCCUAAUAUUGGGUUUCGAUGUUGCAUGCACAGGAUAGAUGGGACACUGGGAAGCAAGUGCUUUGGCAUUUGUGGAGUGGCCGUUGGGAUACCAUCCUUGCGAUAUUGGAAUUCUAACCUGCGCCUUUGAAUCAAGGCGAGGGACAUUGUUAGGUGGGCAGUUUGACUGGGGCGGUCGCCUCCUAAAGAGUAACGGAGGCGUUCAAAGGUUCGCUCAGCUUGAACGGAAAUCAAGCAAAAGAGUGCAAACGCAGAAGCGAGCCUAACUGCGAGACUGACGGGUCGAGCAGUAACGAAAGUUGGAGUUAGUGAUCCGGUGGUAUGUGAGUGGAAAUGCCAUCGCUCAACGGAUAAAAGUUACCCUGGGGAUAACAGGCUGAUCUCCCCCAAGAGUCCACAUCGACGGGGAGGUUUGGCACCUCGAUGUCGGCUCAUCGCAUCCUGGGGCUGUAUUCGGUCCCAAGGGUUUGGCUGUUCGCCAAUUAAAGCGGUACGCGAGCUGGGUUCAGAACGUCGUGAGACAGUUCGGUCCCUAUCUGUCGUGGGCGCAGGAUACUUGAUGGGAGCUGUUCCUAGUACGAGAGGACCGGAGCGGACGUACCUCUGGCGCACCAGUUGUUCUGCCAAGGGCAUAGCUGGGCAACUAUGUACGGAUCGGAUAAACGCUGAAAGCAUCUAAGCGUGAAGCCGACCCAAAGAUAAGAUAUCCCAUUGUUUCAAACAAGUAAGACCCCUUGAAGACUACAAGGUUGAUAGGCAUGAUGUGUAAGUGGAGUGAUCCAUUCAGCAAGUAUGUACUAAUAGGUCGAGGGCUUGACC